This 610-nucleotide long non-coding RNA is filed under the name Homo sapiens (human). RNAcentral describes it as "HSALNT0397226". Lineage: Eukaryota; Metazoa; Chordata; Mammalia; Primates; Hominidae. The record is from RNAcentral.
GCCAGAAUUCCACCCUUGUCUCAUUCCGAGAUUGUGUGCUGAGGGUUUUCAACUGCAUCUCUAAAGGGAAGGCCAAAGAAAGAGCAACAGGAAAGGAUGGUAAAAAGGGGGUAGAAAGGAAGAAGGAAGGGAAGAAAAAAGGGAAAACAGCAAGCUCUCUUUCCAGAGCCACACAUUUUUUUCUGUUUGCUCAGUGGCAGUCUGUUAAAGAAAUACUUCAUUGUCACUGAACACAGAGUCAUUAAAGGCACCUUGGAAAUUUGGACCCUUUUACUAGAAUCAGGGCUUAAAUAGCAACUUAAUUUAUGACACUUCUCGAGGCUGAUGGCGUUUUUGCUCUAAGCAGACCUGCCUUGCAAGAAAUGUUAAAAGAAGUGCUUUAGAGAGCAGGGAAAUUCUAUAGGUCAGACACUUGGAUCUACAUAAAAAAAGGAAGAAACCAAAGGAGAAAUAAGUGAAGGGGCUUGAAGAAGAUAUCUAGAAAUGUCAAAGCAGAAGAGCCUCGGAGAUAAUCUGAACUAUUUCUGAGUUUAUAUAAGGGAAAACUGAGACUGGAGAGAACUAACAUGUCUAAUAUUACAAUGGAAACUUGUAAUAAAACCACAAAUUG